RNAcentral lists this long non-coding RNA (501 nucleotides) under Hordeum vulgare. RNAcentral's name for it is "long non-coding RNA (HVUL_LNC006572)". The record is from RNAcentral. Lineage: Eukaryota; Viridiplantae; Streptophyta; Magnoliopsida; Poales; Poaceae.
CCACAUAUAUUUGCUCACACUUAGACAUUCUCACAUGGUAAAUAUUAGGAAAAUUCUACAGCCUAUAUCAUAAACGUUAAUACUUAUAGGAUGAAUCCAAACCAUUAGUGUUUUCUAUGUGCUAAAUCAAGACUAUUCAUUGAAAAAUUACAUUAUAUUUUCACCAAAUUUCACAAUUUAAAUGCCACUUCAAAUCCGGUGCCCGGUGUUGUGGGCUCGGCCGCCUCCGGCAACGGAACCUGCAGGUGAAAGGCGAAACACAGAGCGUCAGAAAGCUGAGUGAAAGGUGAAAGGCGAAACAGUGAUUCUGUAAUUAGGUUCAACUGGUUCUUGCGAUGAACUGAGUCGGUGAGCUUUGUAUGCCACCGCACGAUCUAUCUAGCAAUCAAAAGAAGAAGAGGCACGGCGUAGCGGUGGGGGCGGGUACCUGCGGAUCGGCUUCGGGGAAGACGGACUGGAGCGCCUCGACGGAGUCGAACUCCAUGCUGAUUCCGAGGUCGG